Molecule: ribosomal RNA, 511 nt
Filed under: Lasiodiplodia pseudotheobromae
Lineage: Eukaryota; Fungi; Ascomycota; Dothideomycetes; Botryosphaeriales; Botryosphaeriaceae
Description: eukaryotic LSU rRNA
Rfam family: 5.8S ribosomal RNA (bases 137-290)
Source: RNAcentral
CCGAUUUUUCGGGCUUCGGCUCGAUCUCCCACCCUUUGUGAACGUACCUCUGUUGCUUUGGCGGCUCCGGCCGCCAAAGGACCUCCAAACUCCAGUCAGUAAACGCAGACGUCUGAUAAACAAGUUAAUAAACUAAAACUUUCAACAACGGAUCUCUUGGUUCUGGCAUCGAUGAAGAACGCAGCGAAAUGCGAUAAGUAAUGUGAAUUGCAGAAUUCAGUGAAUCAUCGAAUCUUUGAACGCACAUUGCGCCCCUUGGUAUUCCGGGGGGCAUGCCUGUUCGAGCGUCAUUACAACCCUCAAGCUCUGCUUGGAAUUGGGCACCGUCCUCACUGCGGACGCGCCUCAAAGACCUCGGCGGUGGCUGUUCAGCCCUCAAGCGUAGUAGAAUACACCUCGCUUUGAAGUGGUUGGCGUCGCCCGCCGGACGAACCUUCUGAACUUUUCUCAAGGUUGACCUCGGAUCAGGUAGGGAUACCCGCUGAACUUAAGCAUAUCAAUAAGCCGGAGG